This 492-nucleotide ribosomal RNA is filed under the name uncultured bacterium. Its description in RNAcentral is "partial 16S ribosomal RNA". It matches the Rfam family "Bacterial small subunit ribosomal RNA", at positions 29 to 507 of the family's 1533-position model. The record is from RNAcentral.
AGUGAACGCUGGCGGUAGGCCUAACACAUGCAAGUCGAACGGCAGCACAGUAAGAGCUUGCUCUUACGGGUGGCGAGUGGCGGACGGGUGAGGAAUACAUCGGAAUCUACUUUUUCGUGGGGGAUAACGUAGGGAAACUUACGCUACUACCGCAUACGACCUACGGGUGAAAGCAGGGGAUCUUCGGACCUUGCGCGAUUGAAUGAGCCGAUGUCGGAUUAGCUAGUUGGCGGGGUAAAGGCCCACCAAGGCGACGAUCCGUAGCUGGUCUGAGAGGAUGAUCAGCCACACUGGAACUGAGACACGGUCCAGACUCCUACGGGAGGCAGCAGUGGGGAAUAUUGGACAAUGGGCGCAAGCCUGAUCCAGCCAUACCGCGUGAGUGAAGAAGGUCUUCGGGUUGUAAAGCCCUUUUGUUGGGAAAGAAAAGCAGCAGGUUAAUACCCCGCUGUUCUGACGGUACCCAAAGAAUAAGCACCGGCUAACUUCGUG